This is an RNA transcript of Capsicum annuum, 2136 nucleotides long. It is a transcript of the gene named guanylate kinase 1-like, with no coding region annotated. The record is from RefSeq and is a predicted model, not a curated record. The transcript has 5 exons. Lineage: Eukaryota; Viridiplantae; Streptophyta; Magnoliopsida; Solanales; Solanaceae.
AGUACAAAAUAUGGGAUUUAUUUACGAGAGUUAUUUUAACUCCUAUAAAAUUAUAUUAAAUAUGAAAUUAAAAAUAUACCGCUAAAAUUAUAUAUUUACGGAAUUUUUAACCCUCUCUAUCCACCAAAAAAAAAAAAUAGCGCUAGCUCAAAAAAAUAUUUUCCCUCUUUUUUCCCCAAUAUUCCUCCAAUACAUUUCUCUCUCUUAUUUUUCCCCAAUUAGAGUUGACAGGUACUCUCCAGUAAGAGAUUUCAUUGAAAAGCCAUGAAUUUUAGAUAUGGUAAUUAAAAGUUAAACCCGACCUUGAAACUACCUCUCCGCCACCGCCACAACCACAACAACAGCCAUCGGCACCACCGCAGACAGAGCCUCAGACACCUUUACAGCCGUAGCCACAACCACCACCACCGCAACAGCAGCAGCAACCUCAAACGAAAGUGGCACCAAAGCGCCCCCAGCAACCGGAAUCCUCCCCAAACCCAGCCACCCCUUCGGCCACCGAAUCCAAAGACAAAGACGUCACUUCCACCACAACCAUCUCCUCCCGCCUUACUGAACCUGAAUUCGUUUACAUCCCAGCUAUUCCCUUAAGUUCCCUUCUACUUUUCAGCUCAUAUUUCUGUAUUUUAGGGCGGAAUUGAUAUAAAUGAUUCAUGUAAUUGAUUAAAUGAUGUUUGAUGUUGUUCUUUUAGGUUGGUUUUCGUGAAAUAGCAUUCAUGAAUGUGAGGUUCAUUUUCUUCCUGAAUUCUUCGACGGAAGGUCAUCUUCUAAGAACCCCAAGACAUACAAUUACUAUAGUAAUACCAUUAUUCGUAGAUUCAGCGAUAACCCCACUAAAAAGAUCACCUUUACUUAGGUUCGCAAGACCAUUGUUGGAGACGUGGGUUCAUUUCGUAAAGUUUUUGAUUUCUUGGAGACAUGGGGUUCGAUUUUUAGCAUUUUUAUUAAUUAUAAGUUGGAUUAUUGGAAUUACACACCACAUGUUUGUUGAAUGUAAGUAUAGUAUUGCCAAAAUCUACACCAUCCGUUUCAGUUUGUUUGUUCGAUGUUGACUUGUCACAUAGUUUAAGAAAGUCAUGUUAUGAUUUAUUAGUGCCAACUCUUUCUUUUCUCCCUCGGUUCUGUAUUUUCGGAAGUUAAUGGUAUAGUGAUGCUGUUGGAUUGACCAGGGGACUAGAAUACCUCCAUGAGCGCUGUAAUCCCCUGUAAUCCAUAGAGAUCUCAAAUCAUCUAAUGUUCUACUGGAUUCCAACUUCAGUGCAAAGCUUUCUGAUUUUGGCCUUGCUGUUGCUGGAUGGAAUUUGAGCAAGAGCAACGUAAAGAUUUCAGGAACUCUGGGUUAUGUGGCUCUAGAGUACCUCUUAGAUGUUGCAGGUGAUAUGGACUAUUGUGAUCAAUAUAUGCAUGGCUGUGGAGCUCAUACAGACUAUGGAAUGAUAACUAUCUUAAUGACCGAUGGUGUUCUUGGACUAAAAGUGUGUUACAAAGAGUUGAUUUCUCAUGUGGUCAUUCAACUAAUAGUUAGUGCCAGAUUAAGAUAAUAACUAUUAGUAUAACUAUUAGUUGAGUGACUAAAUGAGAAAUCUACCCAUAUUAAAAUUGUUUAGUUGACGCAAAAAUAGUAAAUGCAUAGAGUAUUGAUAAUUCUAGCAUUUCAUCUGUAUUCUGCCUUUUAUCAGGUUUGUCAUUACCAUUUCAGCGACCGCAGUGUAAUGGAGAGAGAGAUAAAGGAUGGGAAAUUCCUGGAGUUCACUUCUGUUCAUGGGCAACUGAGACUGAAGAGCAAAUCCAAAAGCGUCUCCGAAAUGCUAGGGCAAAACUCUAACAAGGAAAAUCAUCAGGUCUCUUCGACCAUAAUUUGGUGAAGGAUGACCUAGAAAGUUGUUAUGAGAAUCUUAAGCUAAGUGAUGCGGCUAGUGGACCCAUUUCGCCCAUGGAAGCACGGAGACUACACGAUGAUAGUGAUCCUAAUGAUAGUCGUUGAUUUCGUUGCAAAUUGUCUUGGAUAUUUAAUUAUGAUGAUGUAAUUUUGUGGUUGGAGGGAAUCUUAGAAUAUUGAAGGUUUUGUUUUUAACUCUGAUUUUGGAGUUUGAAGAUACUAGUUAAUGUUGAAAAUUUGGAGUUUGAAGAUGCUAA